CAGCCGCCGCGGGAAUACGGAGGGUGCAAGCGUUAAUCGGAAUUACUGGGCGUAAAGCGCACGCAGGCGGUCUGUCAAGUCGGAUGUGAAAUCCCCGGGCUCAACCUGGGAACUGCAUUCGAAACUGGCAGGCUAGAGUCUUGUAGAGGGGGGUAGAAUUCCAGGUGUAGCGGUGAAAUGCGUAGAGAUCUGGAGGAAUACCGAUGGCGAAGGCAGCCAUCUGGCCUAAUACUGACGCUGAGGUACGAAAGCAUGGGGAGCAAACAGGAUUAGAUACCCCAGUAGUCCCUGUCUCUUAUAC
Molecule: ribosomal RNA, 301 nt
Filed under: uncultured bacterium
Lineage: Bacteria
Description: partial 16S ribosomal RNA
Rfam family: Bacterial small subunit ribosomal RNA
Source: RNAcentral